This is a non-coding RNA of Rattus norvegicus (Norway rat), 69 nucleotides long. NCBI's taxonomy places the organism in Eukaryota, Metazoa, Chordata, Mammalia, Rodentia, Muridae. The record is from Rfam.
GGGGAUUUAGCUCAGUGGUAGAGCACUUGCCUAGCAAGCACAAGGCCCUGGGUUCGAUCCUCAGCUCCA